Molecule: ribosomal RNA, 509 nt
Filed under: uncultured bacterium
Lineage: Bacteria
Description: partial 16S ribosomal RNA
Rfam family: Bacterial small subunit ribosomal RNA
Source: RNAcentral
GACGAACGCUGGCGGCGUGCUUAACACAUGCAAGUCGAACGAAGAGCGAUGGAAGCUUGCUUCUAUCACUCUUAGUGGCGCACGGGUGAGUAACGCGUAAUCAACCUGCCCUUCAGAGGGGGACAACAGUUGGAAACGACUGCUAAUACCGCAUACGAUCUAAUCUCGGCAUCGAGGAUAGAUGAACGGUGGCCUCUACAUGUAAGCUAUCACUGAAGGAGGGGAUUGCGUCUGAUUAGCUAGUUGGAGGGGUAACGGCCCACCAAGGCGAUGAUCAGUAGCCGGUCUGAGAGGAUGAACGGCCACAUUGGGACUGAGACACGGCCCAGACUCCUACGGGAGGCAGCAGUGGGGAAUCUUCCGCAAUGGACGAAAGUCUGACGGAGCAACGCCGCGUGAGUGAUGACGGCCUUCGGGUUGUAAAGCUCUGUUAAUCGGGACGAAAGGCCUUCUUGCGAAUAGUGAGAAGGAUUGACGGUACCGGAAUAGAAAGCCACGGCUAACUACGU